This 383-nucleotide ribosomal RNA is filed under the name uncultured Escherichia sp. RNAcentral's name for it is "bacterial SSU rRNA". It matches the Rfam family "Bacterial small subunit ribosomal RNA", at positions 8 to 387 of the family's 1533-position model. The record is from RNAcentral. Lineage: Bacteria; Pseudomonadati; Pseudomonadota; Gammaproteobacteria; Enterobacterales; Enterobacteriaceae.
AGAGUUUGAUCCUGGCUCAGAUUGAACGCUGGCGGCAGGCCUAACACAUGCAAGUCGAACGGUAACAGGAAGCAGCUUGCUGCUUUGCUGACGAGUGGCGGACGGGUGAGUAAUAUCUGGGAAACUGCCUGAUGGAGGGGGAUAACUACUGGAAACGGUAGCUAAUACCGCAUAACGUCGCAAGACCAAAGAGGGGGACCUUCGGGCCUCUUGCCAUCGGAUGUGCCCAGAUGGGAUUAGCUAGUAGGUGGGGUAACGGCUCACCUAUGCGACGAUCCCUAGCUGGUCUGAGAGGAUGACCAGCCACACUGGAACUGAGACACGGUCCAGACUCCUACGGGAGGCAGCAGUGGGGAAUAUUGCACAAUGGGCGCAAGCCUGAU